This 496-nucleotide ribosomal RNA is filed under the name uncultured bacterium. RNAcentral's name for it is "partial 16S ribosomal RNA". It matches the Rfam family "Bacterial small subunit ribosomal RNA", at positions 28 to 506 of the family's 1533-position model. The record is from RNAcentral.
GAUGAACGCUGGCGGCGUGCCUAAUACAUGCAAGUCGAGCGAACAGACGAGGAGCUUGCUCCUCUGACGUUAGCGGCGGACGGGUGAGUAACACGUGGAUAACCUACCUAUAAGACUGGGAUAACUUCGGGAAACCGGAGCUAAUACCGGAUAAUAUAUUGAACCGCAUGGUUCAAUAGUGAAAGACGGUUUUGCUGUCACUUAUAGAUGGAUCCGCGCCGCAUUAGCUAGUUGGUAAGGUAACGGCUUACCAAGGCGACGAUGCGUAGCCGACCUGAGAGGGUGAUCGGCCACACUGGAACUGAGACACGGUCCAGACUCCUACGGGAGGCAGCAGUAGGGAAUCUUCCGCAAUGGGCGAAAGCCUGACGGAGCAACGCCGCGUGAGUGAUGAAGGUCUUCGGAUCGUAAAACUCUGUUAUGAGGGAAGAACAAAUGUGUAAGUAACUAUGCACGUCUGGACGGUACCUAAUCAGAAGACCACGGCUAACUACGG